This 482-nucleotide ribosomal RNA is filed under the name uncultured bacterium. Its description in RNAcentral is "partial 16S ribosomal RNA". It matches the Rfam family "Bacterial small subunit ribosomal RNA", at positions 30 to 507 of the family's 1533-position model. The record is from RNAcentral.
AUUGAACGCUGGCGGCAUGCCUUACACAUGCAAGUCGAACGGUAACGGGCCUUCGGGUGCCGACGAGUGGCGAACGGGUGCGUAAUACAUCGGAACGUGCCCGAUCGUGGGGGAUAACGAGGCGAAAGCUUUGCUAAUACCGCAUACGAUCUACGGAUGAAAGCAGGGGACCGCAAGGCCUUGCGCGGACGGAGCGGCCGAUGGCAGAUUAGGUAGUUGGUGGGAUAAAAGCUUACCAAGCCGACGAUCUGUAGCUGGUCUGAGAGGAUGAUCAGCCACACUGGGACUGAGACACGGCCCAGACUCCUACGGGAGGCAGCAGUGGGGAAUUUUGGACAAUGGGCGGAAGCCUGAUCCAGCCAUGCCGCGUGCAGGAUGAAGGCCUUCGGGUUGUAAACUGCUUUUGUACGGAACGAAAAGCCUUCUUUUAAUACAGGAGGGUCAUGACGGUACCGUAAGAAUAAGCACCGGCUAACUACGUG